RNAcentral lists this ribosomal RNA (468 nucleotides) under uncultured bacterium. Its description in RNAcentral is "partial 16S ribosomal RNA". It matches the Rfam family "Bacterial small subunit ribosomal RNA", at positions 28 to 507 of the family's 1533-position model. The record is from RNAcentral.
GAUGAACGCUGGCGGCGUGCUUAACACAUGCAAGUCGAACGGUGAAGGCGGAGCUUGCUCUGCUGGAUCAGUGGCGAACGGGUGAGUAACACGUGAGCAAUCUGCCCCUGACUCUGGGAUAAGCGCUGGAAACGGCGUCUAAUACUGGAUACGAGCUGCGAAGGCAUCUUCAGCAGCUGGAAAGAAUUUCGGUCAGGGAUGAGCUCGCGGCCUAUCAGCUUGUUGGUGAGGUAAUGGCUCACCAAGGCGUCGACGGGUAGCCGGCCUGAGAGGGUGACCGGCCACAAUGGGACUGAGACACGGCCCAGACUCCUACGGGAGGCAGCAGUGGGGAAUAUUGCACAAUGGGCGAAAGCCUGAUGCAGCAACGCCGCGUGAGGGACGACGGCCUUCGGGUUGUAAACCUCUUUUAGCAGGGAAGAAGCGAAAGUGACGGUACCUGCAGAAAAAGCGCCGGCUAACUACGUG